RNAcentral lists this ribosomal RNA (995 nucleotides) under uncultured marine group I thaumarchaeote. RNAcentral describes it as "bacterial SSU rRNA". It matches the Rfam family "Archaeal small subunit ribosomal RNA", at positions 418 to 1412 of the family's 1478-position model. The record is from RNAcentral. Lineage: Archaea; Thermoproteati; Nitrososphaerota.
CGUAGAACCACUAUCGAAUAAGGGGUGGGCAAGUUCUGGUGUCAGCCGCCGCGGUAAAACCAGCACCUCAAGUGGUCAGGAGGANUAUUGGGCCUAAAGCAUCCGUAGCCUGUUUUGUAAGUCUUCGGUUAAAUCCACAUGCUUAACAUGUGGGCUGCCGGAGAUACUGCAAAACUAGGGAGUGGGAGAGGUAGACGGUACUUGAUAGGAAGGGGUAAAAUCCUUUGAUCUAUUGAUGACCACCUGUGGCGAAGGCGGUCUACCAGAACACGUUCGACGGUGAGGGAUGAAAGCUGGGGGAGCAAACCGGAUUAGAUACCCGGGUAGUCCCAGCUGUAAACGAUGCAGACUCGGUGAUGCAUUGGUUUAUUGCCAGUGCAGUGCCGCAGGGAAGCCGUUAAGUCUGCCGCCUGGGAAGUACGUACGCAAGUAUGAAACUUAAAGGAAUUGGCGGGGGAGCACCACAAGGGGUGAAGCCUGCGGUUCAAUUGGAGUCAACACCUGAAACCUUACCCGGAGAGACAGCAGAAUGAAGGUCAAGCUGAAGACUUUACCAGACAAGCUGAGAGGUGGUGCAUGGCCGUCGCCAGCUCGUGCCGUGAGAUGUCCUGUUAAGUCAGGUAACGAGCGAGAUCCCUACCAUUAGUUGCCACCAUUACUCUCAGGAGUAGUGGGGCGAAUUAAUGGGACCGCCGCAGUUAAUGCGGAGGAAGGAAGGGGCCACGGCAGGUCAGUAUGCCCCGAAACUCUGGGGCCACACGCGGGCUGCAAUGGUAGCGACAAUGGGUUCCAAAAUCGAAAGAUUGAGGCAAUCCCCAAACGCUACCACAGUUAUGAUUGAGGGCUGCAACUCGCCCUCAUGAAUAUGGAAUCCCUAGUAACUGCGUGUCAUUNUCGCGCGGUGAAUACGUCCCUGCUCCUUGCACACACCGCCCGUCGUUUCAUUGAAGUUUGCCCUUAACGAGGUAAUGUCUAAUUGGCACUAUCGAACUUGG